This 253-nucleotide ribosomal RNA is filed under the name uncultured bacterium. RNAcentral describes it as "partial 16S ribosomal RNA". It matches the Rfam family "Bacterial small subunit ribosomal RNA", at positions 524 to 776 of the family's 1533-position model. The record is from RNAcentral.
UACGGAGGGGGCUAGCGUUAUUCGGAAUUAUUGGGCGUAUAGGGCGUGUAGGCGGCUUCGUGUGUCUCAUGUGAAAGCCCUCGGCUCAACCGGGGAAUUGCAUGAGAAACUGCGGAGCUUGAGUCCGGGAGAGGAGAGUGGAAUUCCCAGUGUAGCGGUGAAAUGCGUAGAUAUUGGGAGGAACCCCAGUGGCGAAGGCGGCUCUCUGGACCGGUACUGACGCUGAGACGCGAAAGCCAGGGGAGCAAACGGG